CCUACGGGGGGCUGCAGUGGGGAAUAUUGGACAAUGGGGGGAACCCUGAUCCAGCCAUGCCGCGUGUGUGAAGAAGGCCCUCGGGUUGUAAAGCACUUUCAGUGAGGAAGAACGCCUGGUGGUUAAUACCCAUCAGGAAAGACAUCACUCACAGAAGAAGCACCGGCUAACUCCGUGCCAGCAGCCGCGGUAAUACGGAGGGUGCGAGCGUUAAUCGGAAUUACUGGGCGUAAAGCGCGCGUAGGUGGCUUGACAAGCCGGUUGUGAAAGCCCCGGGCUCAACCUGGGAACGGCAUCUGGAACUGUCAAGCUAGAGUGCAGGAGAGGAAGGUAGAAUUCCCGGUGUAGCGGUGAAAUGCGUAGAGAUCGGGAGGAAUACCAGUGGCGAAGGCGGCCUUCUGGACUGACACUGACACUGAGGUGCGAAAGCGUGGGUAGCAAACAGGAUUAGAUACCCGAGUAGUC
This 465-nucleotide ribosomal RNA is filed under the name Vreelandella stevensii. RNAcentral's name for it is "partial 16S ribosomal RNA". It matches the Rfam family "Bacterial small subunit ribosomal RNA", at positions 338 to 795 of the family's 1533-position model. Lineage: Bacteria; Pseudomonadati; Pseudomonadota; Gammaproteobacteria; Oceanospirillales; Halomonadaceae. The record is from RNAcentral.